AUUGAACGCUGGCGGCAUGCCUUACACAUGCAAGUCGAACGGCAGCACGGGUGCUUGCUCCUGGUGGCGAGUGGCGAACGGGUGAGUAAUACAUCGGAACAUGUCCUGUAGUGGGGGAUAGCCCGGCGAAAGCCGGAUUAAUACCGCAUACGAUCUACGGAUGAAAGCGGGGGACCUUCGGGCCUCGCGCUAUAGGGUUGGCCGAUGGCUGAUUAGCUAGUUGGUGGGGUAAAGGCCUACCAAGGCGACGAUCAGUAGCUGGUCUGAGAGGACGACCAGCCACACUGGGACUGAGACACGGCCCAGACUCCUACGGGAGGCAGCAGUGGGGAAUUUUGGACAAUGGGCGAAAGCCUGAUCCAGCAAUGCCGCGUGUGUGAAGAAGGCCUUCGGGUUGUAAAGCACUUUUGUCCGGAAAGAAAUCCUUGGCCCUAAUACGGUCGGGGGAUGACGGUACCGGAAGAAUAAGCACCGGCUAACUACGUG
This 486-nucleotide ribosomal RNA is filed under the name uncultured bacterium. Its description in RNAcentral is "partial 16S ribosomal RNA". It matches the Rfam family "Bacterial small subunit ribosomal RNA", at positions 30 to 507 of the family's 1533-position model. The record is from RNAcentral.